This 397-nucleotide ribosomal RNA is filed under the name uncultured bacterium. Its description in RNAcentral is "partial 16S ribosomal RNA". It matches the Rfam family "Bacterial small subunit ribosomal RNA", at positions 523 to 918 of the family's 1533-position model. The record is from RNAcentral.
AUACGUAGGUGACACGCGUUAUCCGGAUUUACUGGGCGUAAAGGGCGUGUAGGCGGUCUUGCAAGUCAGAAGUGAAAUUCCUGAGCUCAACUCGGGCGCUGCUUCUGAAACUGCAGGACUUGAGUGCUGGAGGGGAUAGCGGACUUCCUAGUGGAGCGGUAAACUGCGCAGUUAUUAGGGAGAACCACAGUGGCGAAGGCGGAGGUCUGGACAGUAAGUGAAGAUGAGGCGCGAAAGGGUGGGGAGUAGACAUGGUGAGAUCAGCGGGUAGACCAAGUCGUAUUCGGUGAAUACUAUGUAUAGGGGGUAUCGCGUCCGUAUGCGCCGCAGUAACAACAAUAAGUGUUCCGCCUUGGGAGUACGGCCGCAAGGUUGAAACUGAAAUGGGUUGGCGGGG